RNAcentral lists this long non-coding RNA (1880 nucleotides) under Homo sapiens (human). RNAcentral's name for it is "non-protein coding lnc-IRF4-20:6". The record is from RNAcentral. Lineage: Eukaryota; Metazoa; Chordata; Mammalia; Primates; Hominidae.
GAUAUGAAGUAGGCUGAGUGGCAAUUGCUGGUUGCAUCCUUUUGUCUUUUUUUUUUUUUUUUUUUUUUUUUUGAGAUGGAGUCUCGCUCUUGUUGUCCAGGCUGGAGUGCAAUGGUGUGAUCUUGGCUUACCGCAGCCUCCACCUCCUGGGUUCAAGGGAUUCUCCUGCCUCAGCCUCCGAGUUAGGGGAACAUGCUUGUCUUGAGCCUGAAGUAGACAAAGAAGCUCCAUCCGUGGAGCCUAAUUGAAAAGGGGAUUUAGGAAAAACGAAGUCGCUCCUGGGCUCCUAUACCAAAGAAAUCACACCUACCUCCAUCAGAAACAGGUGUGAGGCUUUUUUUCUGGUGACAUUGUUUGAGGAGGUAGGGAGUGGGGACUCAGACAUCCGUUCCCUAUCUAUCCAUUAUCUAUCUAUCCAUCUGUCAUCUACCCAUUCAUCUUCCAUCAUCUGUGCACCUGUGUAUCUACAUAUCCAUCACCUGACCAUUCAUCUUCUAUCCAUUUAUCUAUCAUCUAUCCAUCCAUCUUCUAUAUAUUAUCUAUGUAUCUAUCCAUCCAUCAUCUAUUAUCUAUCUAUCUAUCUAUCUAUCUAUCUAUCUGACACCUAUCUCUUAUUGUUGUCCUUCCAUUCCUGUAGAUAUGGACCAACUUCUUCCGUCCUUCUUUUUCUUCUACUUCUCUCUUUCUUUCUUCUUUCUUUCUUUCUCUUUCUUUCUUUCUUUUUCUCUCUCUUUCUCUCUCUCACUCUCUCUUUCUUUCUUUCCUCUCGACCCUGUUUAUUGAUAAUUCAACAGAACCAGUUUGAAAUAUGGAGAAAUUAGGUCAACUCUACACUUUCACAUGGCUUAUUUUCAGCUUCCAAUCUUAGCUAGUGACAUGACUCUUUCUUCCAAGUCGAGGUCUUGCAGCACUUGCCUUCACUCCCGUAGCUGUAGUUAGACAGCACCUUAGGCUUGGGUCGACCCUCGGUGAACUCUAUGCCGUGUCCCGCCGCGCCACAGCACAGCUUUCUCCUCAUUGUCUUCUGGCUCUGACUGUAGACAUGGAAAAAGCAGAGUCAACCUGAAUCUUCUCCCUUGCACGAGGCCAACUGCUGCCUGAAUCAUCAUAGGAUUCUUUACUUUCUCUUGAAGAUAAACAACUUCACCAGAAAAUGUCCAAGUGUUGUUCAGCAAUUGAGAGUUUCUUUUGCUAUGUUUGUUUUCAUCACUUUUACUUCAUACCUUUUUUUUUUCAUUUAAUUUUGUGUCGUUUUUCUCAAGGCUGACACAUCACAAACUCUGUUUUCAACAGUCCGUAUUCCACAUUCAUUGCUUCUAACAUGGAGCUAACUUCUGCAAUGAUGUGGCCACCACUGGAACAGGAAGGUUGCUGUCAGAAUCUGGAGAAAUUCAUGGGAAGUUUAAUGUUGCCAGUGAGAGAAACACUCUGUGAGCUGUUCUUAGGGUCUGCUGGUGAGAUGGCUCAGGAAGGGUAAACACUGGAGGCAUGAGAAUACCAUCGAAGGGGCCGACUGCAGUGCCGGGCAUUGUGUAGGCCACAGCCACCAGUGCCUCCAUGUUUCUGACCAAAUGCUUCAGUGCCCUUUAGUGAGUGUGUCGCAGACAAGGCAUUUUUGUAUGAGAUCCAGGGUUCAUACCAUCAUGAUUCUUAGCCUUCAUAUUCAUCACACACUGGAAGGGACGCUGCGUGCCAGGCGUUCCGGCCGGCCAUCUGCGGGGGAAGGAGGAGCAUGGCCUGGAGAUGUGGAGCUUCUGGGCAGCAUGGCGCUGAAGCGCUGCUAGCUAAGAAUUACUAAACAACUCAGGUUCAGCCAACUCUAAUUUGUGUUUUAUUUUCACUAAACUUUUUGCUUACUUUAGUGUAGGCAUCCUUGGGGA